UCCUGGUUAGCUCACUUGGUAGAGCUUCCCACUGGAAAUGGAGAGGUCCCUGGUUCGAUACCAGAAUUAGGCG
RNAcentral lists this transfer RNA (73 nucleotides) under Ixodes scapularis (black-legged tick). It matches the Rfam family "tRNA". From Rfam's summary of the family: Transfer RNA (tRNA) molecules are approximately 80 nucleotides in length. The record is from Rfam by way of RNAcentral. Lineage: Eukaryota; Metazoa; Arthropoda; Arachnida; Ixodida; Ixodidae.